ACAGCAGUAGCCGCGGGAAUACAGAGGGUGCGAGCGUUAAUCGGAUUUACUGGGCGUAAAGCGUGCGUAGGCGGCUUCUUAAGUCGGAUGUGAAAUCCCUGAGCUUAACUUAGGAAUUGCAUUCGAUACUGGGAAGCUAGAGUAUGGGAGAGGAUGGUAGAAUUCCAGGUGUAGCGGUGAAAUGCGUAGAGAUCUGGAGGAAUACCGAUGGCGAAGGCAGCCAUCUGGCCUAAUACUGACGCUGAGGUACGAAAGCAUGGGGAGCAAACAGGAUUAGAGACCCCAGUAGUCCCUGUCUCUUAUAA
Molecule: ribosomal RNA, 305 nt
Filed under: uncultured bacterium
Lineage: Bacteria
Description: partial 16S ribosomal RNA
Rfam family: Bacterial small subunit ribosomal RNA
Source: RNAcentral